GGUCCUGACCUUUUCUGCUGGAUCCUGGGUGGACUGCUUCUCCAGCACACGUAUCCACCUUUGCAUCCGGUGACCCAGAGCCUGCACGAUGUCCCAGUCUUCCUGCUGUGCCUGGACAGGGAUGCUGGAUGAACUCAGCUAAACCUGUAAACCCAGAGCACCAGUGCGCAGACUGUCUGUGCUAUAGUUGCUCCGCGUGUCCCUGAGCUAUUUCUGUGCUACUCGGUGGGAGAAGGCAGCCAGGGUUAGACCCAAGCCGGUGCUCGUGGAUGGCAGCCCCACCCUGCGCCCAGCUGAACCUUGGUCCCAGCAUCCCCAUCACCUCGGGAAGCCUAGAGAGCUGGGCCUCAAGCACCUGCUGACCUCUGCCCGGCAGAAGGCAUGGUGAUGUCACUGGGGUUAACGCUUCCUGCUUCCUCUUGGGACAGAUGGCUCCCCUUCCCUAUUGGGAGAGAAAGCUUUGGUGAGAGAUAAUAAUCCAGGCUUGCGGAGACCUGGGGGAGUGCUCAGAGGGGCUCAGGUCUGCACAGGUGAGGCAUGGGCUCAAGAGAAGGAGGAAGGCAGUUCCGUCCUUUUGUUAGAAAACCUCUAGUUUCUUCCUGGUUUGCCCUGUGACUUUCCAUGCACAGAGUGUACGGGGCAGCGCUUCUUUCAAAAGGGAAGAACUGUGGGGCAGCUAAGGCCAGAGGAAUGCCUACCAACCUGCUCCCCGGGGGCAACGCGGACUUCCUAGCUGAUGCCAUGGAACAUCACGGCUGCUCAGACCCAUGUGAACACCCCAGUUCCAGACUGGAGACGGGACCAAGAGGUUCCCCUCACAGCAAGAUGCCUGCCUCUGCCACCCAGUUUUGCCACGACCUCCUCAGGGAAGGACCACAGUGUUUGCUGAGCACCUGUGCUGGCCAGGGUGAGGGCUUCCUGCCCAUCCAUUCUGGCGAGCAUCUCAAGCAGGGGGCGAGGCUCCUCCAUCAGCCCUGAGCCUUGUCAAUCUCGCCUGCGGAUCAGAUUGGAGGAUGCCUGAUGGGGUGAUGCCUGGUCCGGGCGAUCUCUGAGAGUGGUCCCUGCUACCCUGCACACACCUCCUUCAGAGAUCUGAAGCCCUUGCUCAGAGGGUAGGGCUAAACUUCCAGUUCAUCUCAGGAAGUGAAACAGAGGGGCUUGCUGGCAUUCAUAGGAAAGUAAUGAGAAAACAGGCUCAGAGGGUGUAAGCCACUUGCCUGGUAAAUGACACGGCCUGGCUCGGAACCUUCAUCAGCCUGACUGCACACCAGUCUCCUGUCUGAGUGCCGUUCCAUCAGAUGACAAAUAGUAGGUCUUAGACACAAGAGAUAGGUCUGAGGGGAAGUGUGCGCCCCAGCCACCCCUCUCCCAGCCCACUCCACAUGCACACUUGCCUCCAGAGGCCACCCUGGAACAAAAGAGUCAAACUUUGUCAGCCACGUGCCCUGCUCCAGGAAAGCCUCUUUGAACACACCCACACCCCUGCCCUCCAUUCAGGGGCUUCUAGGAAGUGACACUGGUCCCGGAACAAGGGAAGAAUUCAAAUGGGUCUCUGAACUUGGGUGCAAGGGAUGCACCAUCAGAGUUAAAGCUGCUGACAGUUCCUUGGAGGGAGCCUGGAGCCCCGGGAUUUGGGAGACAGAUGUGACGAUCCCGCAGACUCUGUUCAGCCUCCCGAUGGCUCCAGUGGCCCAGAGGGCCCCCUUCAGCUCCAGCCUCUGUCUCUGGCCUGGACGCAGAAUGUCUGCAUAUCAAGGUGCAAGAAUCACUUGAGCUGCUGGACACGCCGGCAGCUGGCUUCGGCUGCAAGAUCAACCUCAGCCUGUCCAGUGGCGGCCCUGGGAUCUGAAUGUCUAACAAGCACUCAGCACCGCCCCCACCCACCACCACGCUGAGGCUCGACUGGGCGACAUGGCCUUAGAUCACAGGGUGGCUGAUGGUGAUGGGACAGGGGUCCUUCAGAAGGCACAGGUCCAGGCGGCAGCCAGCCUGGGUGCUGGCCUCACGCUUACGCUCAGGGCUUCCCGGAGAGGAACAAAGUUUUCUCUGGACACAGGCAUCUGCUCUGAGUGGCUCGUGCUCCUCCCUCCAUCCAGAGGGCUGCUUGCAGCAAGUGAAGGCAAGAAACAGGCAUAUAGGUUGUGGGGGCUUUCCCCAGGCAUUUGUCUCCUGAAGGACCAACCUCAUAGAUAGAGUUCACAGCUAUUCAGUUGACCUCAGAGGAGCGGCUGAGACAGGUGGCAGCCUCAAGCCAGUUCCCAUCCAAGCUGCCUCUGCUCCCCACCUCUGCGCAUGGAGCUGAGGUCCUGGGGCUGCAGUGGCCUCACGCACUCCCUGCCCUGCCCUGUCACACCCUCUCAACCCAGGUCUCCCACAGGGGAAGCCGUCAGCUCCCUGGCAUGCCCUCCACACCUCAUCCUCACCAGUGCAGCCCCAAGAAGUUUAUACAUUUCUACCCCUAAGAUCUCUUUCUAUCCUUCAGUGACUUUCCCUGAAUCUGACAGGACAUGCCCCAUGUGCCCCCUCCUGCAGAAACCACGCCCACCUCCCACCAGAGCUGAGGGUCGGAGUCACGAAGCCUUCACAAGUGCCCCAUAUCUGGUUGCCCCUGGGGGCCCUGCAGUCCCUUUCUCCAGAGUGAACACUGGGGUCACCUUAAAAGGAAGACAGGGGAGUAGGGAGUUCCUGUUGUGUCUCAGUGGGUUACCAACCCAACUAGUACCCACAAGGAUGCAGGUUUGAUCCAUGGCCUCACUUGGUGGGUUGAGGAUCCAGCAUUGCCAAAAGCUGCGGCGUAGGUCCUGGAUGCAGCUAGGAUCUGGGACCUACAUUUGCUGUGGUUGUAGUGUAGUCCUGCGACUCCAGUUUGACCCCUAGCCAGGAAUCUUCCAUAUGUUGCAGGUGUGGUUGUAAAAAGAAAAAAAAAGAAAGACAGAUGGGAGUUUUCUGGUGGCUUAGUGGGUGAAGGAUCUGGCAUUGUCACUAGCUCCGGCCACUGCUGUAGUGUGGGUUCAAUCCUUGGUCCAGGAACUUCCAUAUGCCCCAAGCACGGCCAAAAAACAUAAAUAAACAAAAAAACGCCAAGUGAAGGGUCUCUGAAAGCCACCGGAAAUACUCGUUUUCAGCCCUGCACCGCCACCUGCUGGCCAAUUGGGGUAGGUCGUCCAGAGGUGAUAGGUUCCCAAGGCCAGGCAGGCAGGAACUUUCAUCCCUUUCAACUUCACUUCUUCCUCAGGAUCCCGCCAGGCCUCUCGUCCCCUCCUAGGUAUAACCAACCCACCACAUCUCUCUUCCAUUGUCCCACCAUUAAAUCCAUCUC
RNAcentral lists this long non-coding RNA (3319 nucleotides) under Sus scrofa (pig). RNAcentral's name for it is "lncRNA (ENSSSCG00030062280.1)". The record is from RNAcentral. Lineage: Eukaryota; Metazoa; Chordata; Mammalia; Artiodactyla; Suidae.